RNAcentral lists this long non-coding RNA (1195 nucleotides) under Homo sapiens (human). RNAcentral's name for it is "long independently transcribed non-coding RNA 2037 (LINC02037)". The record is from RNAcentral. Lineage: Eukaryota; Metazoa; Chordata; Mammalia; Primates; Hominidae.
AGGACUGCGCUCCAGGAUGCAACCAAAGCCGGGUGCACAGCAGCCGGCAUGGCGCCAAAACUGAAGCCCUGAGCUGCUCUGCGGUGCUACCCUUUGUCCCUCCAGACUCUCUUUUCCUUCAUCUGUUUGUCAGUAAACCGAAGCCACCACAGUUUGUCAUUUGGAUGAUUUUCGCCAGAUGGAGAAGCUGCAGCUCCAGACUCUUGACAGCCGCACAACUUCCAAGGCAGUGGCCCCGCGGGCUGCAAACCCCACCUUCCUGCAGUUGCAGAGCCAGCUAAGAGGUGGGCAGCAUGCCAGGCCCCAUCAGCAGCCCCUGGAGCACACACCAAUUGCAGAUGCUCAGGAGACUCGGGGGAAGGAACGGGGUUUUCACCAGAACACCACAGGCAGGACCUCCCAGCAAAGGCCUCCAGAUGCUGUGAAAACCUAAGGCUCGUCCUCCUCCUGGCUUCCCAGGUUACCCAGCCACAACACACAGAUGCUGGGUCUGGGACGGCUCCACUGGAACCUGAGAUGACCUGAGGGUGUCCCAGUGAUAUAACAUAUGAGGAAAGCAGAAACAACUAAGAAAUAGACUCUGAAUGUGGCAGAUUCUAGAACUGAGAGGCGGAAGAGGAGCAGAUCUUCACUUUCCACACCUCAAGGUACUCAGCCAAUCACCUGUUCAUGCCUGAGAUUGUGAAUCCAAUAGGAAAGUACAAGGACAUGGAGAUUGUCAGAGCUGUUGUAUGAUGGUGGCAGCAGAGUCAAGAGUCCAGCGGAGAGGCAGCAAGCAUCCCAAGGAUCCCAUGACUGAGAACCAGCUUCUGUGGUUUAGAAGCAAGGCGCCAACUGGUAUGAGAAGCACAGACAGAUGGUGCCCUGGGAACACUGGCUGUCACGUGCUGGAGGAGGUUCCUCAGCAAGUCACCUUCCCUCCAUGGGCCUCUGUUGGAAAGAAGGCAUCAAGAUCAUUCCAGCUAUGAUUCCUGAGCUUUUAAUAUAUUCUUUCUGAUGAUUAAGAAAUAUAUCUGUCGAGCAUGGCAGCUUACGCCUGUAAUCCUAGCACUUUGUGAGGCCGAGGCGGGUGGAUCAUGAGGUCAGGAGUUCAAGACCAGCCUGACCAACAUGGUGAAACCUCGUGUCUACUAAAAAUACAAAAAUUAGCCGGGUGUUGUGGUGUGUGCUUGUAAUCCCAGCUACUCGGGAGGCU